CUACCGUGCGCUGGAUUAUGACUGAACGCCUCUAAGUCAGAAUCCGGGCCAGAAGCGACGCGUUGUCCGCCGCUCGUUUGCCGACCAGCAGUAGGGGCCCUCCGGCCCCCAAAGGCACGUGUCGUUGGCUAAGCCCUCGCGGCGGACGAGCCGCGCGGGCCGCCUUGAAUUACAAUUCCACCGGGCGGCGGACUGAAUCCUUUGCAGACGACUUAAAUACGCGACGGGGUAUUGUAAGUGGCAGAGUGGCCUUGCUGCCACGAUCCACUGAGAUUCAGCCCUUCGUCGCUCCGAUUCGU
Molecule: non-coding RNA, 299 nt
Filed under: Ricinus communis (castor bean)
Lineage: Eukaryota; Viridiplantae; Streptophyta; Magnoliopsida; Malpighiales; Euphorbiaceae
Description: Eukaryotic large subunit ribosomal RNA
Rfam family: Eukaryotic large subunit ribosomal RNA
Source: Rfam by way of RNAcentral